RNAcentral lists this ribosomal RNA (427 nucleotides) under uncultured bacterium. RNAcentral's name for it is "bacterial SSU rRNA". It matches the Rfam family "Bacterial small subunit ribosomal RNA", at positions 355 to 774 of the family's 1533-position model. The record is from RNAcentral.
UGGGGAAUUUUGGACAAUGGGCGCAAGCCUGAUCCAGCCAUGCCGCGUGCGGGAAGAAGGCCUUCGGGUUGUAAACCGCUUUUGUCAGGGAAGAAAUCCUUUGAGCUAAUACCUCGGGGGGAUGACGGUACCUGAAGAAUAAGCACCGGCUAACUACGUGCCAGCAGCCGCGGUAAUACGUAGGGUGCAAGCGUUAAUCGGAAUUACUGGGCGUAAAGCGUGCGCAGGCGGUUAUGCAAGACAGAGGUGAAAUCCCCGGGCUCAACCUGGGAACUGCAUUUGUGACUGCAUAGCUAGAGUACGGUAGAGGGGGAUGGAAUUCCGCGUGUAGCAGUGAAAUGCGUAGAUAUGCGGAGGAACACCGAUGGCAAAGGCAAUCCCCUGGACCUGUACUGACUCUCAUGCACGUGAGCGGGGGGGGCGAGCA